GCUCGGACACUUUCUUGGCACAGUGCUGCUGCUGCUGCCGCCGCCUUGCGUAGGUUAACCACCAUCCGUCCGCGCUUAAUUCUCCGUCUCCCUCCUCGCACACGACAGAGGACCGACGACGCGCACCUCUCCGUUCGUGCGGCGCGGCACAGCGCGGCGUUGCUCGUGCACUGUUUGCUACUCUGGCCAUGGCCCAUGGGUACUCUCGGCUACUCGCUUGCCACAAUGCCAUAACAUUUAGUAAACAACUAACUAACUGCUCGGGAAUUUUGCUUCUGAGACAGCGUAGCUUCGGCAAGCAACAAAGGCAGCAUCAACCUCUCUGCACUGUACUGCAUGGCGGCAUGGGCAAUCAUGGGCCUGUCUUCUGAAAAGCCGAGGUGUGUUCAAUGGCGGCAGCUUAGGCGUUUGCACAGUGCACACACACAUGUACACGGGGUGAGUACAUUGAUGGGGCUUCUCCGUGGAGAACAGCGCACAGAUCGCGAGCUCGCUCACAUGUCACAUGGUAGGUGGCCACACUGGUGCACCCCGCGCGUCGCGAAACGGGCGAGCAUGCCGAGCAGUGAAGGGGGGCGCAUGGU
RNAcentral lists this long non-coding RNA (584 nucleotides) under Setaria viridis. RNAcentral describes it as "long non-coding RNA (SVIR_LNC008402)". Lineage: Eukaryota; Viridiplantae; Streptophyta; Magnoliopsida; Poales; Poaceae. The record is from RNAcentral.